This 265-nucleotide ribosomal RNA is filed under the name uncultured bacterium. RNAcentral describes it as "partial 16S ribosomal RNA". It matches the Rfam family "Bacterial small subunit ribosomal RNA", at positions 92 to 354 of the family's 1533-position model. The record is from RNAcentral.
UGAGUGGCGGACGGGUGAGUAACGCGUGGGCAACCUGGCCUGUACGAGGGGGAUAACACUUAGAAAUAGGUGCUAAUACCGCAGUAACGGGAGAAGCCGCAUGGUCUUUUUCCUAGAAAACUCCGGUGGUACAGGAUGGGCCCGCGUCUGAUUAGCCAGUUGGCAGGGUAACGGCCUACCAAAGCGACGAUCAGUAGCCGGCCUGAGAGGGCGGACGGCCACACUGGGACUGAGACACGGCCCAGACUCCUACGGAAGGCAGCAG